RNAcentral lists this ribosomal RNA (498 nucleotides) under uncultured bacterium. RNAcentral describes it as "partial 16S ribosomal RNA". It matches the Rfam family "Bacterial small subunit ribosomal RNA", at positions 30 to 523 of the family's 1533-position model. The record is from RNAcentral.
AUUGAACGCUGGCGGCAUGCCUAACACAUGCAAGUCGAACGGUUUGUGGGGUUUACUCUACAAAUAGUGGCGGACGGGUGAGUAAUAUGUAGGAAUCUGCCUUGAGGAGGGGGAUAACUUGGGGAAACUCAAGCUAAUACCGCGUAAGUCGGAAACGAGAAAGCAGGGGAUCGAAAGACCUUGUGCCUUAAGAUGAGCCUACAUCGGAUUAGCUAGUUGGUGGGGUAAAGGCCUACCAAGGCGAUGAUCCGUAGCUGGUCUGAGAGGAUGACCAGCCCCACUGGGACUGAGACACGGCCCAGACUCCUCCGGGAGGCAGCAGUGGGGAAUAUUGGACAAUGGGGGCAACCCUGAUCCAGCAAUGCCGCGUGUGUGAAGAAGGCCUUCGGGUUGUAAAGCACUUUCAGUGGGGAAGAAGGGUGAGCGGUUAAUACCCGUUCAUUUUGACGUUAUCCACAGAAGAAGCACCGGCUAACUCUGUGCCAGCAGCCGCCGUAA